RNAcentral lists this unclassified non-coding RNA (36 nucleotides) under Mus musculus (house mouse). RNAcentral's name for it is "oocyte_clustered_small_RNA9161". The record is from RNAcentral. Lineage: Eukaryota; Metazoa; Chordata; Mammalia; Rodentia; Muridae.
AAGCAUGAGACCUGGUCUGGGCACGUCAUCAGCAAC